UGAAAAAGAACCUGAAACCGUGUACGUACAAGCAGUGGGAGCACCCUGGUGUGACUGCGUACCUUUUGUAUAAUGGGUCAGCGACUUAUAUUCUGUAGCAAGGUUAACCGAAUAGGGGAGCCGGAGGGAAACCGAGUCUUAAUUGGGCGUUAAGUUGCAGGGUAUAGACCCGAAACCCGGUGAUCUAGCCAUGGGCAGGUUGAAGGUUGGGUAACACUAACUGGAGGACCGAACCGACUAAUGUUGAAAAA
Molecule: ribosomal RNA, 251 nt
Filed under: Salmonella enterica subsp. enterica serovar Cerro
Lineage: Bacteria; Pseudomonadati; Pseudomonadota; Gammaproteobacteria; Enterobacterales; Enterobacteriaceae
Description: partial 23S ribosomal RNA
Rfam family: Bacterial large subunit ribosomal RNA
Source: RNAcentral